ACCUGAGUAGCUCAGCUGGAAGAGCAUCAGACUUUUAAUCUGAGGGUCCAGGGUUCAAGUCCCUGGACCCUCAGAUC
Cololabis saira (Pacific saury) is the source of this 77-nucleotide non-coding RNA. Lineage: Eukaryota; Metazoa; Chordata; Actinopteri; Beloniformes; Belonidae. The record is from the annotation of a RefSeq genome assembly.